Molecule: ribosomal RNA, 496 nt
Filed under: uncultured bacterium
Lineage: Bacteria
Description: partial 16S ribosomal RNA
Rfam family: Bacterial small subunit ribosomal RNA
Source: RNAcentral
AUUGAACGCUGGCGGAAUGCUUUACACAUGCAAGUCGAACGGUAGAGGGGGCAACCCCUCGAGAGUGGCGAACGGGUGAGUAAUAUAUCGGAACGUGCCCAGUCGUGGGGGAUAACGUAGCGAAAGUUACGCUAAUACCGCAUACGAUCUAAGGAUGAAAGCGGGGGAUCGCAAGACCUCGCGCGAUUGGAGCGGCCGAUAUCAGAUUAGGUAGUUGGUGGGGUAAAGGCUCACCAAGCCAACGAUCUGUAGCUGGUCUGAGAGGAUGACCAGCCACACUGGAGCGGAGACACGGUCCAGACUCCUACGGGAGGCAGCAGUGGGGAAUUUUGGACAAUGGACGCAAGUCUGAUCCAGCCAUUCCGCGUGCAGGAUGAAGGCCCUCGGGUUGUAAACUGCUUUUGUACGGAACGAAAAGGUCUCUCUUAAUACGGGGGGCUCAUGACGGUACCGUAAGAAUAAGCACCGGCUAACUACGUGCCAGCCGCCGCCGUAA